Molecule: long non-coding RNA, 1375 nt
Filed under: Equus caballus (horse)
Lineage: Eukaryota; Metazoa; Chordata; Mammalia; Perissodactyla; Equidae
Description: lncRNA (ENSECAG00000054238.1)
Source: RNAcentral
GCUAUGGUUACGGCCCUUGCCUCUGGUCCAGAGGCUCCAAAAAGGGAGGGCGCAUGGGUCCCAGGCCCCCUCCAUUCUUCCCAGCCUCUGCUCCCUCCUGACCCACAAGCCUGGAAUCCGUGGCACAGGGAGAGGCUUCGUGUCCAUCCAGCGCCCCCAGCAGCCCUGCCUGGGGACCCAUUUUACAGGUCAAGAAACUGAAGGUCGGAAUUAAGUACCUGGCCCCGGUCUGGUGAACGGAAAGUCAUUCUGGUCUCACAGUGAGUUAGCCCCUGCCCACCCAACAGCCCUCAUCUCUUCUAAUUCUCUCAGCCAUCUUCCAGGAGAGGGGCGGGGCCUCCCAGCCGCCCAGCUUGAGGGACCCUUGAAGAUGGCCUUUCCACACCGGCCUGGAAACUGGCGCUGUGGUUCCGAGGACAGCUGAGGGAGAAAGCGUCUUUUGGAAGCUGUUUCCUGAUUCCCACGAAGGCCUCGUCCUCAUGAAAACGGCAGUGCCCCUCGGGGGUCUGGCCUCGCUCCAGCUCGGCCUCUGACCUCCUCGCUUGCCAGCUGCCACCAACACCCAGGGCGUCCACACCCGCCAGUCUUGAAACAGCCCGCUGGGCGUUCCUGCCCAGGCGCGGGUCUCUUUUGUCCCCACGUGGUGACGUGUCACCCUCUCCUCUUCUCACUCUGUCCUCGGCACCUGUCCUUCGAGCGCAUCCACACCCCUCUGUGUAUUGGUGUCGGACAUUGGGUGCCUGCUGCCUUUCCUGCUGCGUCCCCAGCACCUGGCCCGGGGGGAAAUGCUCAAUUAGCACAGGGUGAAUGUGCGAACGAAUGAAGGAGCGAACGAAUGAGUGAGCUGCCUGCUCCAGUCAUGGCAGCCCACCCCAUUUGCCCAGGGUCUUCGCAUGGUCUUGAGGUUAGGCACCUUGGGAUGGCGUUGGGGACUGCCUCCGCUGGGGGGAGUUUGAGGACCACGGUCCCUCUAACACCCGGACUGAGACCCCGGCGGCCGCGUCUGAACAGGGCGCUGGGGGACAACCAAGGAGCGAGCAGACGGGCGCUGCACUCGGGCGCCGGCCAUCCCAGCCAUCGCCACCGGGGGGCAGCACCAGCCUGGCUUCCUCGCUCUGGGCUCUGCGGGGCGGAGCGGUGGCCAUCCUGGGCAGGGCCACCCUGCCACCCCCCCCUUUAGGGCGGGCCUGGCCCCACCGGGAGCCAGGAGGCCUCGCUGGGCCCCUCCUGGGCCUCUUCUGUGACAAUCAGUUCUCUGCGAGGCUCGGGGCUCCUGGAGACUGUUUCGUUUGUUUUUAACUUUUGUGUCCCCAACAUAAGGCCUGGCAUGGAUGGGGAAGGAGGGGUUUUACGUAGCUGUGUGACCCCCGGUAGG